Long non-coding RNA from Etheostoma spectabile (orangethroat darter), 199 nucleotides. RefSeq lists it as uncharacterized. Lineage: Eukaryota; Metazoa; Chordata; Actinopteri; Perciformes; Percidae. The transcript has 2 exons. The record is from RefSeq and is a predicted model, not a curated record.
GUGAACUUCAGGGCACCCUCAGGACUCAAACACACAGUAGUUCUGCUCAGGAAACGUUUGUCAGAGGACCAUGAGAUUGGCUGUAAUCCUUUUUCUCCAACUGUGGGGGAUUGUUGAAGUUUCCUCAUCACAGAAUGUUUCACCAUCGAGCUGCAACCCCCUGCCUGCAGAUGGACGGGUUGCAGUAAUAGGUUUGCCA